Molecule: non-coding RNA, 208 nt
Organism: Chlorocebus sabaeus (green monkey)
Lineage: Eukaryota; Metazoa; Chordata; Mammalia; Primates; Cercopithecidae
Source: Rfam
GCCGGGCGCGGUGGCUCACGCCUGUAAUCCCAGCACUUUGGGAGGCCGAGGCGGGUGGAUCACGAGGUCGGGAGAUUGAGACCAUCCUGGCCAACACGGUGAAACCCCGUCUCUACUAAAANNNNNNNNNNUUUUAGUAGAGACGGGGUUUCACCGUGUUGGCCAGGAUGGUCUCAAUCUCCCGACCUCGUGAUCCACCCGCCUCGGC